UUCAGUAUUUAGCUAUUUAAAAUUUAGUUCAACAAUAUCAAUAGAUAACAACAACAACAAUUGUGUUUCUACAAUGAACUUGCAGUACAAUCAUAUAAGAACAGUCGCGGUGCAUUAAGCUCCCGCAUGCGCGCGGUCCGGGGAAGGGCCAGACCACAAGGGUCUAUUGUACGCAAUUUAACCCAGCAUUUCUGCAAGAGGCUGUUUUCACGGCUCGAACCCGUGACCUCCUGGUCACCUGGCAGAUACUUUGCAGUCCAAUCAUAUGUUAUAAUGAUAAUAAUAUAGGAACAAUCAGAUUCUAAAGAGCUAUCAGAUAAAUAUUUAUGCACAAUUUGUUAUUCUAUAAAAACUAAAUUAAAUUCAAAUGGCGAAAUACAUAAAUAACCUGUUUAAGUCGUCCACAGUAACCAGAUAGACGCCUCAAUUGAUGCCAUUAUCAACUAGACACUUCUUUUUCAAUAGAAGUACGACCCGGUGAACCCUCAUGCUGACAUAGCAAAGUGGGUGCUUUAUAUUCACAUAUGAACACGUAAAACCCUCAAAAUUAAAAUUUUUCAUUUUUAAAAAAAUUUAACCUUACUUUAUGCGGAUUAACCAUAACUUUUAUGUGGGUCCCACUGUAUUUUUAAUUUUUCCCACAUUCAUUUUACUUUCUUCCAAAUAAUUCAUCUCCACCGCCAAACUUUUCUGACCUAAACAUGGCAACAUCAGUAGCUUAUUCACCUUCCAACGUGAUCCACCUCAUCUUAUUCAAUCUUAAAAUAAAAAAAAAUCUAUAACAGCCACUACACCAUAAUAAUAUCAAUUGACCACCCAUAAAAUUUCGGUCCCAUUUCUAAUAAUUGACCUUCUCCAAUUCCCUUCUGAGGUUAAAAAUUUGAAAUCUUUCAUGGUCCAAUUAAGUUGUCUUUUAGCAGCUGGUAGCGAAGCUCCACUUGUUCUGCUUGGUUCCAUCGGCGACAGUUAAGUAAGAAAUGAAGCACAGUGAUAAAGAAGCAGUAGCAAAACUCUGUGGGGACGAGGAGUUUGGAAGAAGGAAAAGGGGGCGAGAUGAACAAGAGCGGAGGGGUCAUCUCUCGUCGGAGAAGAAGAUUGGAGGCGAGCGUAACUCACGCAUAUGAACUGCCGAACUCGGGUGUUCACGAGGUACACUUGAUAACCACUUGAAGUGUCAAAAUGAUAAAUGGUCAGCUGAGGUGACUGUUUGGUCGUUGCGGAGCAUGUUUUCCUAUCAAGGGAGAAUUCAUAUUAUUCGGCAAAUAAUGUUGUGUUAAGUUUAACAUAUUUAUAGAAAUUAGUUAACUAAUUGCACUCUUUUAAAAGUUAAAUUCA
Nicotiana attenuata is the source of this 1335-nucleotide long non-coding RNA. RefSeq lists it as uncharacterized. The transcript has 2 exons. The record is from RefSeq and is a predicted model, not a curated record. NCBI's taxonomy places the organism in Eukaryota, Viridiplantae, Streptophyta, Magnoliopsida, Solanales, Solanaceae.